Molecule: ribosomal RNA, 509 nt
Filed under: uncultured bacterium
Lineage: Bacteria
Description: bacterial SSU rRNA
Rfam family: Bacterial small subunit ribosomal RNA
Source: RNAcentral
AGUGAACGCUGGCGGCAGGCCUAAUACAUGCAAGUCGAACGGCAGCACAGCAGAGCUUGCUCUGUGGGUGGCGAGUGGCGGACGGGUGAGGAAUACGUGGGAAUCUGCCCAGUCGUGGGGGAUAACGUAGGGAAACUUACGCUAAUACCGCAUGCGCCCUUCGGGGGAAAGCCGGGGACCUUCGGGCCUGGCGCGAUUGGAUGAGCCCACGUCGGAUUAGCUAGUUGGCGGGGUAAAGGCCCACCAAGGCGACGAUCCGUAGCUGGUCUGAGAGGAUGAUCAGCCACACUGGAACUGAGACACGGUCCAGACUCCUACGGGAGGCAGCAGUAGGGAAUAUUGGACAAUGGGCGCAAGCCUGAUCCAGCCAUGCCGCGUGAGUGAAGAAGGCCCUCGGGUUGUAAAGCUCUUUUGUCCGGAAAGAAAAGCGCCGGGUUAAUACCCUAGGUGUCCUGACGGUACCGGAAGAAUAAGCACCGGCUAACUUACGUGCCAGCAGCCGCGGUAAU